GACAGAGGGUGCGAACGUUGUUCGGAAUUACUGGGCGUAAAGCGCAUGUAGGCGGCAAUGCAAGUCGGGCGUGAAAUCCCACGGCUCAACCGUGGAAGUGCACUCGAAACUGCAUAGCUAGAGUCCUGGAGAGGAAGGUGGAAUGCUUGGUGUAGAGGUGAAAUUCGUAGAUAUCAAGCGGAACACCGGUGGCGAAGGCGGCCUUCUGGACAGUGACUGACGCUGAGAUGCGAAAGCGUGGGGAGCAAACAGG
Molecule: ribosomal RNA, 253 nt
Filed under: uncultured bacterium
Lineage: Bacteria
Description: partial 16S ribosomal RNA
Rfam family: Bacterial small subunit ribosomal RNA
Source: RNAcentral